RNAcentral lists this ribosomal RNA (254 nucleotides) under uncultured bacterium. RNAcentral describes it as "partial 16S ribosomal RNA". It matches the Rfam family "Bacterial small subunit ribosomal RNA", at positions 524 to 776 of the family's 1533-position model. The record is from RNAcentral.
UACGUAGGGUGCGAGCGUUGUCCGGAAUUACUGGGCGUAAAGAGCUCGUAGGUGGUUUGUCGCGUUGUUCGUGAAAACUCACAGCUUAACUGUGGGCGUGCGGGCGAUACGGGGCAGACUGGAGUACUGCAGGGGAGACUGGAAUUCCUGGUGUAGCGGUGGAAUGCGCAGAUAUCAGGAGGAACACCGGUGGCGAAGGCGGGUCUCUGGGCAGUAACUGACGCUGAGGAGCGAAAGCGUGGGGAGCGAACAGG